Long non-coding RNA from Sycon ciliatum, 1388 nucleotides. RefSeq lists it as uncharacterized. The record is from RefSeq and is a predicted model, not a curated record. NCBI's taxonomy places the organism in Eukaryota, Metazoa, Porifera, Calcarea, Leucosolenida, Sycettidae. The transcript is spliced from 4 exons.
AUUAUGUAUCACGGUUGGUUCUGUUCAGAUCAUGUUUAUCGGUUGGACAUGUUGAGUCUUGCUCUGGUAGUCCAUCUGGUGGUGGCAAUUUGUUCGGCCGAGCAUUCCGCACUGCAGGUGAUAGAUUCACCACAGGCGUUUGUCAGGCUGACAGUGAUGGAGACGGAGUAACUAACGGCCAGGAACUUGGAGAUCCGAACUGUGUUUGGACUCAGGGCGCUACACCAUCACGCUCCACAUGCCUCUCCCACCCCGGAUUUACCUGCUCCUCGCCUACUGAUCCCUACUGUACAGGCGAGUUUCUAACUGAAUGUGCAAGCUUUGACGUAGCAACACCGGCACCGACAACCCCAGCACCGACUACCACCCCAGCAACAACCACCCCAGCAACAACCACCCCAGCAACCACCACCCCAGCAACCACCACCCCGGCAACAACCACCCCAGCAACAACCACCCCAGCAACCACCAUCCCAGCAACCACCACCCCAGCAACAACCACCCCAGCAACCACCACCCCAGCAACAACCACCCCAGCAACCACCACCCCAGCAACAACCACCCCAGCAACAACCACCCCAGCAACAACCACCCCGGCAACAACCUCCGCAGCAACAACCCCCACACCAACCAUCCCAGAAGUAACCACUGGAGCACCAACAUCGUCCCCGCCACCUCCCCCAAUUUCUUCUCCACCUCCGACACCAGAUGCCUUCACUUCACAAAUGACCACCCCACCACCUCCUCCGAUAACGACUCCACCUCCAGUCACAGAUAUAUUUACACCACAAGCUACGGUGGCACCCCCGAACCUAGGUUUAUGUCCUGAUGUCGGCAACCCAGGCCUAUCCUCACAGCAGCGUUUGGAUGCCUACUUCAGCUGCAUUCGCUCUUUCAACGCCGAUUUCAGUCAGACAUACCGCUAUGCCGUGGCCAAUGGUGCUUUCCUUGGACGAUGUCCUCAAUAGUUGUAUACUAGUUCUGAGCACCCAUGCCGGGCCAUGCCGGGCCAUGCCGGGCCAUGCCGGGCCAUGCCGGGCCAUGCCGGGCCAUGCCGGGCCAUGCCGGGCCAUGCCGGGCCAUGCCGGGCCAUGCCGGGCCAUGCCGGGCCAUGGUCACCUGUCCAUCCUGCAGUACAUGUGCAUUUAUAUCAGCUGUCAGCUGUCAGUUGUACUGAUGAUUUCCAUGGUAACGGUAAUGCAUACUACUCAUACUACGUGCAAUAACAUGUUUUCAACUGCUGUAACCUGUGUUUGUGUGUGUAGCUAUGGCAACAGUUGAAUAAAGAGAUCUACAGACAAAACUCUGAGUGGUACUACAGCUAGCCAUCAAGUGUCCUGCAGGGGACUCAACAUUUUAGUUGUGAAAAUCAAGUUGCACCAGCGUAC